RNAcentral lists this transfer RNA (68 nucleotides) under Tuberculatus sp. 5 XY-2019. RNAcentral's name for it is "tRNA-Leu". Lineage: Eukaryota; Metazoa; Arthropoda; Insecta; Hemiptera; Aphididae. The record is from RNAcentral.
UCUAAUAUGGCAGAAAUUCCAUGCAAUGAACUUAAAAUUCAUUUAUAAAGAUUAAUCUUUUUUUAGAA